Molecule: non-coding RNA, 243 nt
Organism: Drosophila virilis
Lineage: Eukaryota; Metazoa; Arthropoda; Insecta; Diptera; Drosophilidae
Source: RefSeq, a predicted model, not a curated record
AAACCGAUUCUGGCAACUAUCGAAAUGGAUUCUCAUUUUUAGCUCUUGUAAUAAGUUAAAAGUUCUAUUUUUGUUUACCUACCGUUCUUUAUUUCUAGGGCAGCGGGACGAACUGUUGAAGAGAUCAGAAAUCGGAUAUAAAUGACAUGUUAUAUAUUUUCCUUAUAUUGAUUUUUUGCGAAAUUUCCUUGAGGUUCAACCAAAUAUUAAACAUAGAUUUGCAUAACUCCUAGUCAAAGAUCA